Molecule: ribosomal RNA, 325 nt
Filed under: uncultured bacterium
Lineage: Bacteria
Description: bacterial SSU rRNA
Rfam family: Bacterial small subunit ribosomal RNA
Source: RNAcentral
GACGAACGCUGGCGGCGUGCCUAACACAUGCAAGUCGAACGAGAAGUUCUUUAAUGAUACCUUCGGGUUGAUUUAAUGAAUGGACAGUGGCGGACGGGCGAGUAACGCGUGAGUAACCUGCCCAUAAGUGAGGGAUAGCCCAUGGAAACGUGGAGUAAUACCUCAUAUUGUAUACUGGUCACAUGACCUAUAUAUGAAAGAUUUAUCGCUUAUGGAUGGACUCGCGUCUGAUUAGAUAGUUGGUGAGGUAACGGCUCACCAAGUCGACGAUCAGUAGCCGAACUGAGAGGUUGAUCGGCCGCAUUGGGACUGAGACACGGCCCAG